UCUUGACGAACGCUGGCGGCGUGCCUAAUACAUGCAAGUAGAACGCUGAAGAGAGGAGCUUGCUCUUCUUGGAUGAGUUGCGAACGGGUGAGUAACGCGUAGGUAACCUGCCUUGUAGCGGGGGAUAACUAUUGGAAACGAUAGCUAAUACCGCAUAACAAUAGGUGACACAUGUCAUUUAUUUGAAAGGGGCAAUUGCUCCACUACAAGAUGGACCUGCGUUGUAUUAGCUAGUAGGUGAGGUAACGGCUCACCUAGGCGACGAUACAUAGCCGACCUGAGAGGGUGAUCGGCCACACUGGGACUGAGACACGGCCCAGACUCCUACGGGAGGCAGCAGUAGGGAAUCUUCGGCAAUGGGGGCAACCCUGACCGAGCAACGCCGCGUGAGUGAAGAAGGUUUUCGGAUCGUAAAGCUCUGUUGUAAGUCAAGAACGAGUGUGAGAGUGGAAAGUUCACACUGUGACGGUAGCUUACCAGAAAGGGACGGCUAACUACGUGCCAGCAGCCGCGGUAAUACGUAGGUCCCGAGCGUUGUCCGGAUUUAUUGGGCGUAAAGCGAGCGCAGGCGGUUUGAUAAGUCUGAAGUUAAAGGCUGUGGCUCAACCAUAGUUCGCUUUGGAAACUGUCAAACUUGAGUGCAGAAGGGGAGAGUGGAAUUCCAUGUGUAGCGGUGAAAUGCGUAGAUAUAUGGAGGAACACCGGUGGCGAAAGCGGCUCUCUGGUCUGUAACUGACGCUGAGGCUCGAAAGCGUGGGGAGCGAACAGGAUUAGAUACCCUGGUAGUCCACGCCGUAAACGAUGAGUGCUAGGUGUUGGAUCCUUUCCGGGAUUCAGUGCCGCAGCUAACGCAUUAAGCACUCCGCCUGGGGAGUACGACCGCAAGGUUGAAACUCAAAGGAAUUGACGGGGGCCCGCACAAGCGGUGGAGCAUGUGGUUUAAUUCGAAGCAACGCGAAGAACCUUACCAGGUCUUGACAUCCCGAUGCUAUUUCUAGAGAUAGAAAGUUACUUCGGUACAUCGGUGACAGGUGGUGCAUGGUUGUCGUCAGCUCGUGUCGUGAGAUGUUGGGUUAAGUCCCGCAACGAGCGCAACCCCUAUUGUUAGUUGCCAUCAUUCAGUUGGGCACUCUAGCGAGACUGCCGGUAAUAAACCGGAGGAAGGUGGGGAUGACGUCAAAUCAUCAUGCCCCUUAUGACCUGGGCUACACACGUGCUACAAUGGUUGGUACAACGAGUUGCGAGUCGGUGACGGCAAGCUAAUCUCUUAAAGCCAAUCUCAGUUCGGAUUGUAGGCUGCAACUCGCCUACAUGAAGUCGGAAUCGCUAGUAAUCGCGGAUCAGCACGCCGCGGUGAAUACGUUCCCGGGCCUUGUACACACCGCCCGUCACACCACGAGAGUUUGUAACACCCGAAGUCGGUGAGGUAACCUUUUGGAGCCAGCCGCCUAAGGUG
This 1456-nucleotide ribosomal RNA is filed under the name uncultured organism. RNAcentral describes it as "SSU rRNA". It matches the Rfam family "Bacterial small subunit ribosomal RNA". The record is from RNAcentral.